GUCGACGUCACUGGCCUUCUAGCCAUCGCCGAUCCACUUUUAAUUUUCCAUUUGUUUUGUCUUUGUCUUACACACCUGGUUUCAAUUCCCCAAUUACUUGUUCAUUAUUUAAGCCUCUGUUCCCCUAUGUUUUUUGCUAUACAAAGACACUUUACAUGGGCAAAUAAGACAAUGAAACAUGGAAGAUAUGCAACCUUGGUUAACGCAGCAAACAAGCUGGUACAUAGGUUCCACAAGGUAGGAGUGUACCCCCUGCUACUCCUCAGCAAAAGGAAGGAUAACAUUUUGUCGUCAACUGCACUGUGUCAGACCUCAAUGGCAGCAAUCCAAAGGUUGUAUGAGGCAAUUGUGAAAGUGGCAAUCAACACCCAUGCCCCCACACUACAACCCUCCAACCCUCCUCCUGUUGCUGCCUAAGAACUCUCUGAUACAGUUGCUCCCCAGGAGACCAGCUACACCCCCAUCCUCACCCAGGUUGAACCCCCGAUAUCCCCCACCACCCAGGAGACCAGCUACACCCCCAUCCUCACCCAGGUUGAACCCCCGAUAUCCCCCACCACCUAGGAGACCAGCUACACCCCCAUCCUCAACCAGGUUGAACCCCCAAUAACCCCCACCACCCAGGAGACCAGCUACACCCCCAUCCUCAACCAGGUUGAACCCCCGAUAUCCCCCUCCACCCAGGAGACCAGCUACACCCCCAUCCUCAACCAGGUUGAACCCCCAAUAAUCCCCCACCACCCAGGAGACCAGCUACACCCCCAUCCUCAACCAGGUUGAACCCCGAUAUCCCCACCACCCAGGAGACCAGCUACACCCCCAUCCCCAACCAGGUUAAACCCCCGAUAUCCCCCACUGCCCAGAAGACCAGCUACACCCAAACCAAGCCAAAGAAGACGGGGAGAAAGUCCUGUCACCCUGUCACCGUCAAAAAACCCUCCAACUCGCUGAGCAUGACACAGUCAAUCCCAUCCAACCCCAUCCAACACCGACCAAGGAAGAGGAAAUAUGACUACAUGCAAAAACAUAAAUCAGUAUCUAACUUAUAUUGUUUAUUCAUAAAUGUUAAUGAUGUCAAUAACUUCAUUUAUGUUUUUAAUAAAUUA
Molecule: non-coding RNA, 1106 nt
Organism: Salmo salar (Atlantic salmon)
Lineage: Eukaryota; Metazoa; Chordata; Actinopteri; Salmoniformes; Salmonidae
Source: RefSeq, a predicted model, not a curated record